Molecule: ribosomal RNA, 600 nt
Filed under: uncultured bacterium
Lineage: Bacteria
Description: partial 16S ribosomal RNA
Rfam family: Bacterial small subunit ribosomal RNA (bases 61-261)
Source: RNAcentral
CAGUCGAACGGCAGCACAGCAUGUUACCAUCAUGUGGGUUGCUGUAAUUGGCGGACGUGGUGAGUAACGCGUGGGACUCUGCCCUAUACGUGGGGGACAACCGACGAAAGUCGGGAUAAUAACGGAUACGCCCUAAAGGGGGAGGNGGCGUUCGGCCGCUAUUGGAUNAGCCCGCGUCGGAUUAGCUAUUUGGUGAGGUACAUGGGCUCACCAAGGGCGACAGACUCACGUAACCUGGUCUUGAGAAGGAACGAUCAGACAAAUGGGGACUUAGAGAAGAACGGACCAAGAACUUCCAUUAAUCGGGGGAAGGGCUAAGAAGUAAGGGGGUGACAUAAUUUAGGCNGAGCAAAAUGGGGGGACGAACACGAGCCAUUGAAUUGUGAGGAGAGAGAUUGCACUAGCAGGAUAGAUUGGUAGAAAGAGAAAGUAGNACUUAGCUAGGGGGUUUACNGAUAUAAAGGAGAAAUUUAUACGAGGGAUAUCGGAGAACGAAUUUCAAUAGACACAGAGGNAAGCACCUUAACAGCAGAGAAAAGUCAUAUAGNGANACGUAUAUGAGUGCAAUCUAAAUGCAUNACAUCCCGGAGAUGGGAAGCA